RNAcentral lists this long non-coding RNA (225 nucleotides) under Lathyrus oleraceus (garden pea). Its description in RNAcentral is "Pisum sativum (pea) long non-coding RNA (PSAT_LNC007110)". The record is from RNAcentral. Lineage: Eukaryota; Viridiplantae; Streptophyta; Magnoliopsida; Fabales; Fabaceae.
UUGUGUGACAUUAUUGAUCCCAACAUGACCUCCACCAAGUGAAUGGGCUUGCAAGUCAACUUGCUAAGGAAUAACUCCACACAAGUCAACAAGACUAUGCCAUUCUCUUAUCCUAAGUGCACUCGAGUUCGGGUAUAGAACUCAUCUCACAAAGAUCACCAAGCAUACAAGGAAUUAAUAUUCAAGCAAUUCAAUCAUUACAUACAAUACAGUAAUCCCAAAUUU